Molecule: ribosomal RNA, 372 nt
Filed under: uncultured eukaryote
Lineage: Eukaryota
Description: SSU rRNA
Rfam family: Eukaryotic small subunit ribosomal RNA
Source: RNAcentral
AGCUCCAAUAGCGUAUAUUAAAGUUGUUGCGGUAAAAGCUCGUAGUUGGAUUUCUGUUGAGGACGACCGGUCCACUCCACGAGUGCGCAUCUGGUUCGGCCUCGGCAUCCUCUCGAUAGACGUUACUGCGCUUGAUUGCGUGGUGCGGAUUUCGGGACUUUUACUUUGAGGAAAUUAGAGUGUUCACGGCAGGCUUUCGCCCGAAUAUAUUAGCAUGGAAUAAUACUAUAGGAUCUUGGUCCUAUUUUGUUGGUUUCUAGGAUUGAGAUAAUGAUUAAUAGGGACAAUUGGGGGCAUUUGUACUGACAAGUCAGAGGUGGAAUUCUUGGAUUUUGUCAUGACAAACUACUGCGAAAGCAUUUGCCAAGGAUG